UACGUAGGGUGCAAGCGUUGUCCGGAAUUAUUGGGCGUAAAGAGCUCGUAGGCGGUCUGUCACGUCGGAUGUGAAAACCCGGGGCUCAACCCCGGGCCUGCAUUCGAUACGGGCAGACUAGAGUUCGGUAGGGGAGACUGGAAUUCCUGGUGUAGCGGUGAAAUGCGCAGAUAUCAGGAGGAACACCGAUGGCGAAGGCACUUUACUGGGCUAUUACUAACACUCAGAGACGAAAGCUAGGGUAGCAAAUGGG
Molecule: ribosomal RNA, 253 nt
Filed under: uncultured bacterium
Lineage: Bacteria
Description: partial 16S ribosomal RNA
Rfam family: Bacterial small subunit ribosomal RNA
Source: RNAcentral